GGGGCUGACUGGUUUUGACAGCAUUAGGAUUGGUAUGUAAGCAUGACGGGUCACGUGACACAUCCCGUAAAACUGGGUUGCAACACUUUUAAUUGGCGAAAAUAACUACGCUCUCGCAGCUUAAUCGAAGUACAGUAGAUGAGUUUAUCUCUGGUCAAGGACCGGAGACGGGACGAUUCGCAGGUGGAGAGGUCUGAUUCCGGCCUGAUCACGAGUCGCAAGCAAUUUCAGACUGGUUUUGUUCCUGCCCUGGGAACGAGAUGAGAUUUUAAGGGCUAAGGCAUUAUUUGGGCGUUUGUCCCCUGGUAUUGCCCGACAAUGAAUGACGAACUAAUCAUGUAGAAAGCAUAUGGGUUCGGUGUUUGGACGAGGGUUCGAAUCCCUCCAGCUCCACAA
Molecule: transfer-messenger RNA, 396 nt
Filed under: Bacteroidales
Lineage: Bacteria; Pseudomonadati; Bacteroidota; Bacteroidia
Also listed under: 1 other name
Description: Sulfidibacterium sp016936355 Standard tmRNA
Rfam family: transfer-messenger RNA
About the family: Bacterial tmRNA, also known as 10Sa RNA or SsrA, is named for its dual tRNA and mRNA-like properties. Its role is to liberate the mRNA from a stalled ribosome.
Source: RNAcentral